AAGCCUAGCUUGGUGUUGGAUUCAGUCGUACCCCAAGGAUGACUGAUCUCAAAAAUAGUGACGGCGUCCUAGAAGGAACCGGUACGAGGAGCUUCUAAUCAAGCAUGUACACGGCAGGAUUCUACGGGCGGUGGUCUUUUUUUUACUUAAAAAUCAUAAGUGUUGACCUCGGAUCAGGUAGGAAUACCCGCUGAACUUAA
This 200-nucleotide unclassified non-coding RNA is filed under the name soil metagenome. Its description in RNAcentral is "partial contains internal transcribed spacer 2 and large subunit ribosomal RNA". The record is from RNAcentral.